UACGUAGGGUCCAAGCGUUGUCCGGAAUUAUUGGGCGUAAAGAGCUCGUAGGCGGUGUGUCGCGUCGGAUGUGAAAGCCCGGGGCUUAACCCCGGGUCUGCAUUCGGUACGGGCAUGCUGGAGUUCGGUAGGGGAGACUGGAAUUCCUGGUGUAGCGGUGAAAUGCGCAGAUAUCAGGAGGAACACCAGCGGCGAAGGCGGCGCUCUGGGCUGGAACUGACGCUGAGGAGCGAAAGCGUGGGGAGCGAACAGG
This 253-nucleotide ribosomal RNA is filed under the name uncultured bacterium. RNAcentral's name for it is "partial 16S ribosomal RNA". It matches the Rfam family "Bacterial small subunit ribosomal RNA", at positions 524 to 776 of the family's 1533-position model. The record is from RNAcentral.